GUUGUAUAGUUAAGUGACUAAGCGCACAAGGUGGAUGCCUUGGCAAUCAGAGGCGAAGAAGGACGUGCUAAUCUGCGAAAAGCUUGGAUGAGUCGAUAAGAGGCGUUUAAUCCAAGAUAUCCGAAUGGGGAAACCCAGUAGGUGAAGAACCUACUAUCACAUACUGAAUACAUAGGUAUGUGAGGCAAACCGGAGAACUGAAACAUCUAAGUACCCCGGGGAAAAGAAAUCACCGAGAUUUCGUUAGUAGCGGCGAGCGAACGCGAAAGAGCCAGUUAGUGAUAGC
This 286-nucleotide ribosomal RNA is filed under the name Bibersteinia trehalosi Y31. RNAcentral's name for it is "partial 23S ribosomal RNA". It matches the Rfam family "Bacterial large subunit ribosomal RNA", at positions 1 to 284 of the family's 2925-position model. The record is from RNAcentral. Lineage: Bacteria; Pseudomonadati; Pseudomonadota; Gammaproteobacteria; Pasteurellales; Pasteurellaceae.